Molecule: transfer RNA, 69 nt
Filed under: Scutiger ningshanensis (Ningshan alpine toad)
Lineage: Eukaryota; Metazoa; Chordata; Amphibia; Anura; Megophryidae
Description: tRNA-Met
Source: RNAcentral
CGUAAAGUCAGCUAAUAAAGCUCUUGGGCUCAUGCCCCAAACAUGUGGAAUAACCUCCCACCUUUGCCA